GUGCCAGCAGCCGAGGUAAUACGUAGGGGGCAAGCGUUAUCCGGAUUCACUGGGUUUAAAGGGUGCGUAGGUGGGCAGGUAAGUCAGUGGUGAAAUCUCUGGGCUUAACCCGGAAACUGCCAUUGAUACUAUUUGUCUUGAAUAUCGUGGAGGUCAGCGGAAUAUGUCAUGUAGCGGUGAAAUGCUCAGAUAUGACAUAGAACACCAAUUGCGAAGGCAGCUGGCUACACGAAUAUUGACACUGAUGCACGAAAGCGUGGGGAUCAAACAGGAUUAGAAACCCUUGUAGUCC
RNAcentral lists this ribosomal RNA (292 nucleotides) under uncultured bacterium. Its description in RNAcentral is "partial 16S ribosomal RNA". It matches the Rfam family "Bacterial small subunit ribosomal RNA", at positions 505 to 796 of the family's 1533-position model. The record is from RNAcentral.